RNAcentral lists this unclassified non-coding RNA (276 nucleotides) under uncultured fungus. RNAcentral describes it as "sequence contains ITS1". The stretch from base 1 to 107 matches the Rfam family "5.8S ribosomal RNA", at positions 50 to 154 of the family's 154-position model. Lineage: Eukaryota; Fungi. The record is from RNAcentral.
AAAGUGCGAUAAGCACUGUGAAUUGCAGAAUUCAGCGAAUCAGUAGAUCUCUCAACGCAAAUGGUGUCAGGUAAACUUGUUUGCUUGACAGUCAUGCUUCAGUCUUGCACUUAUGCACUAAACAUGCAUUUUUGUCACCUCUAAUAUACUUGUUGGUGAUGUGUAGUUCGCUAAGUCACAUGGCGAAUGGGAAUAGCUCGGUGUUAUUAAUUUAUUAAAAACAACUGAGUAAUUGAUAAUCAAGCUGAAGUAUGUCAGACUACCCGCUGAACUUAA